UGAGGAAUCUUCCGCAAUGGGCUAAAGCCUGACGGAGCAACGCCGCGUGAAUGAAGAAGGCCUUCGGGUCGUAAAGUUCUGUCUUUCGGGAAGAAGACUCUCGAUGUAAAUAAUGUCGAGAGGUGACGGUACCGGAGGAGGAAGCUCCGGCUAACUACGUGCCAGCAGCCGCGGUAAUACGUAGGGAGCGAGCGUUGUCCGGAAUUACUGGGCGUAAAGGGCGCGUAGGCGGGUAAUUAAGUCAGAUGUGAAAGCCCCAGGCUUAACUUGGGGAUUGCAUUUGAAACUGGUUAUCUUGAGGGCAGGAGAGGAAAGUGGAAUUCCUAGUGUAGCGGUGGAAUGCGUAGAUAUUAGGAGGAACACCAGUGGCGAAGGCGACUUUCUGGACUGUACCUGACGCUGAGGCGCGAAAGCAUGGGGAGCGAACA
Molecule: ribosomal RNA, 428 nt
Filed under: uncultured prokaryote
Description: bacterial SSU rRNA
Rfam family: Bacterial small subunit ribosomal RNA
Source: RNAcentral